CAGGUUUCCUGCUAAGACUAUGUGGGCAAGGUGUAGUGCAGGUUUCCCCUGGGAUUUGAAUCUGCCAAAACUGAUCUGGCAUUUAUGAUGCAAGUGAGUGGUGGCUGAGACCCUGAAGAAGGAAUGAGAAACUUCAGGAGUGAACCAUAAAGACUUCUUUGAGGUAGCACUGCUCAAGAAUUAAGAAGCUCAUCAGGACAACCAGCCUUCCCCAAAUGGCGUUUCCACAGUUCAUGAUAUAUAAGGUUCAUCCUUCUACUGAACAAAUCGCUGCCCUGAAGCUUGAACACUGUUGCUCAUCUCUGUGUAACCUGUGAAUUGUCUCUUUGGUUUCCUGUUUUCUUACAUGCUGGGGGACGUGCCUCCCAAGCAGUUUGCUGUUGCAUUUUCACAAUAGCUGUGUCGUGGUUAAAACAUGAAAAAAUCAAGAGAUGUUUGGCUUCCUUGCUAUCUUUGAAGGUAUGUAGCAAGAAAUAACUUUGGCUAGACAGUGACAUAUUAUUUUUUCAUCAUGGAUGCACACU
RNAcentral lists this long non-coding RNA (524 nucleotides) under Zonotrichia albicollis (white-throated sparrow). RNAcentral's name for it is "lncRNA (ENSZALG00000013626.1)". Lineage: Eukaryota; Metazoa; Chordata; Aves; Passeriformes; Passerellidae. The record is from RNAcentral.